GGAGGGGUGGUCGAGUGGUUGAUGGCUCCGGUCUUGAAAACCGGCGACCCGCAAGGGUCCGUGGGUUCGAAUCCCACCCCCUCCG
Molecule: transfer RNA, 85 nt
Filed under: Sphaerospermopsis kisseleviana
Lineage: Bacteria; Bacillati; Cyanobacteriota; Cyanophyceae; Nostocales; Aphanizomenonaceae
Also listed under: 10 other names
Description: tRNA-Ser
Rfam family: tRNA
About the family: Transfer RNA (tRNA) molecules are approximately 80 nucleotides in length. Their secondary structure includes four short double-helical elements and three loops (D, anti-codon, and T loops).
Source: RNAcentral